AUAAGAUGGAGUCCCGAGACUAUGAUACAUAGAUGAUGAUGCGACAUAUGGGUGAUGCUGUGGCACUCAGCAACCGAACACUUUUGGGCUGAAAAUUCCACAGCAAGUGCCACAAAACACUCAUAGGCCGCGUCAUCAAAAUAAAAAAAAUCAUCUGUUAUGACUUAUGCCACAUCAUCACCAAUUGGCCAUGUAAUCACCUAUCUAAGCAAUUUCUGCCACAUAAUU
Molecule: long non-coding RNA, 228 nt
Filed under: Phoenix dactylifera (date palm)
Lineage: Eukaryota; Viridiplantae; Streptophyta; Magnoliopsida; Arecales; Arecaceae
Description: long non-coding RNA (PDAC_LNC004043)
Source: RNAcentral